RNAcentral lists this long non-coding RNA (3028 nucleotides) under Homo sapiens (human). RNAcentral describes it as "HSALNT0300164". The record is from RNAcentral. Lineage: Eukaryota; Metazoa; Chordata; Mammalia; Primates; Hominidae.
GGGAAACAGGAGGCACUCAACCAACACUUAUUCCAUGUUGUUCCUGGGACCUGCAGCUGCCGUCACUCCUGGUAGAAUCAUGAGUGGCUCCACCUCAGCACUGCGAACUUUUGAUUAACACAUACUUGGGUCUAUCUUUUAAACAACUCUCUUCUUGAACAGAAGGAAGAAGUGUGUUUGAUUUAUUGUUAAUUUUCUGUUACCUGACACUUGAUAAUCACUUAAUAAAUGUUUGUUGAAAGAAAAGGUAGGUGAUAAUACAGGGUUUACUAAGUGCCAGAGGAUGUUCCAAAGCCAUUACAUUUUAACUCCUUUAAUCCUUUCAACAAUUCUAUGAGGUAGGCACUAUUCCCCUCAUCAGCUAUGGUUAAGAAAACUGAGGCAAAGAAAGUUUAAGUAACACCCCCAGGGCCACUCAACAAAGUGGCUAUUGGGGGACCGACUGUAGAAUCCAGGCUCUCAAUGAAAUUGAAUAGUUUCUUAGUUAAAGCAUUUGAUUUUUAACAAAGCUGUUUAAAAAUUUAACAUAGAACUAAGGCUCUUUCUUAUAACAUUUUAAUUUCUUCAUUAAACCCUAGAAAAUGAAUUAGGCUUGAACAUCAUGCCAUAUUAUUAUAUAGGUUAGCUUCACUGCUUAAUUGAAUAAAAACAAUUCCAAUCAAAGCAUCUCACUUUCGUCUUUUCAGCUCCUGCAUGUUGGUGUGUUGGUGCAUGUCAGACUGCCAUUCAACAAAAGGCAAGACUCUGCCUCCACUCUGGGUAUUCUGGAAAAUGUAAGUAAUUGGAUCAGACUUUCAUAUCACUGCCUCCUAGAUGAUUAGAAUCUCAGUUUUCUGCAGAGUCUAUCAGACGUUAUGCUCCCCAUAUCUCCCGUCAGUACUCACUGAGUCGCGAGGGUUUGGAGAUGAUUUAUUACAUGUGACACAGGUUUCUGUUUAUGCACUCAUAAAGGCCAUGCCUGCAAGAUCUAUAGAGCCAGCUUGCACCAGUACACUGAGCUGAGAUGAAUAAAUGAAUAAUUGUUUUGAUAAUAUUAACCAAGCAUGUGUGAUGUUUCUUUGCCACAUCUGUUAUUAACAACAUAAACAAAAGGAGUCUUCAGUGGUUAUAUGUUGCUUUCAGGAACAAUGUAAUGUGCCCAGUUUGGUAAGCCUUUGUGGGUAUUGAUUAGAAUAAGUCUUUUUCUGAAUAUCUCAGGAUCAAGUGGAAUGCCAGUGCGUUUAAAAUAUGGCUGGAUAACAAUAAGUUGGUGAUUUUAUUCAAAAUGUCAACCAUGUCUCUUGCCCCUUUAGAUUUUAACUUAGUGCAUCUCAGAGCAGGGUAAGAAAAUCAGUGAAUGUUUUAACAAACACCAGAGGUUAUUAUCAUUGUCUUGGCUUAAUCCCACUUUCUACUGAGCCAGCCUCUAACAUAUUGCUUAAAAUUUUCAACAGCCUAUGAGACAAGUGACUGAUGAGCCUUUGACUGAUCAUGUCUAGUGAUGAGUGACUCACUACCUUGCAAGGCAACUUUGCAGCUCUGGCAAUAGGAUAGUCCUUCUGGAAGGAGGACAUUCUGAAAUAUUAAACAGCUUCCCUCUAUACAGAAAACUGCCCCAUUCAGAAAGCUGCUAGGGCUUGCCAGGCUUGUUCUAAAUGAAAAAGUGUGACUCAGCAGAAUUUGGGGAAGGGGGAAUAACACUCAACGUUAUCUUUCAAAAAAAUAGGGUAUGAGGUGAGAAAGAAAAAAGUGAGAGAAUGCUUGCUGAGGAGAACAUCGUUUUGUUUAUACUUCUACUCCAUUCUAAUUCCAGUCUGAGGGUGAAGGUAAAAGGAAACCAAGAUGAGCCUGAGUUUCAUAUUUUCCAGGACCGGCAAUCAGCCUGCCCUAGGCACAGAGAGCUGUCCUGGGAAGCCCUCCAUUGGAAUGAGAGUGGACACAGAGCAAGUGGUAUCCCCUGUGGACUGGUGACUAUGUAGUCAAUGGAGUUGGGAUGUUAAAACUGGUCAGUGUGGCUAGGUAACGGCACUGAAGGCCAGAUAACCCCAUCCAAACAUGCUCAGCACCUUGGAAACAGGAAAAGUCUGCACCAAAUGUGGACACACCUCCUAAAAGGUGAAGUCACUGAGUAGCCUGAGAAUGCAUUUCCAGCACUGAGGGUGGGCAGGGGAUGCUGAAAUAAAAAUUAAAUUCUGUUAUCAAAACAAAGGAAGAUGGCAUCUUUGCAUGUCUGAGAAUAUAGACUACCAUUUAUUCCAACUACUUGUCCAGAAAGCAAAAUCUAUUUAUCUAUAGUUUUUGCCUUUUUCUAUCCAUUGGGCCAAAGUAAAUUUUUAUUUUGCAUGCUUAUAUUUUUAUUUUCAAAGUAAAUUUUUCUUUUGUGUGUUUUCUCUUGGCUAACGAAAGAUAGAGAUUGCUAGGAACUGAAUGUUUACACAUUCCUCCCCGCAUUCAUGUAUUGAAAUCCUAAUCCCCAAGGUGAUGGAUUAGGGGGUGGAGCCAUUGGAAGGCGAUAAGGUCAUAAGGGUAGAAUUCCCACAAGUGGGAUCAGUGACCCCAUAAAAGGACAUAUGAGAACUUGCUUUUUCUCUCUCUGUUCUCCUCCAUGUGUGGACACAGCAAGAUGACCAUCUGCAAUUCAGAAAAGAUUUGCUGACUUCUGCCCUAGGAUACUGUCAUGGUCUGCAUGUUUGAAACUGGGUCACCACUACAUCUGGGCUCACCACUACAUCUGGAAAAAGGAACAUGGAAAAGGCACUCUCAUUGGUGCCAGACCUAGAAACAACACAUGUCACUUCUGUUCCUUUUAACCAGAAGGAAACUUUAGUCAUUGGCAAUGCAACACCAAGGGAACCUGUGAAAUACAAUUGAGUCAACAGUUCCACUCAGGCUAUAAGCCUGUAUUAUGAAAGAAGAGGAAGGUGCUUUGCUGGAUGGUCAGCAGUCUUUCCCACAUUCAAUAGAAAAGAAGCUAGUGUGUUUCUACUUUAGCGCACAAACACUGUCUUUUUGGACAGCUAAAUUAUAUCAAUCCAGUUGUCCCUUUUGA